RNAcentral lists this ribosomal RNA (253 nucleotides) under uncultured bacterium. RNAcentral's name for it is "partial 16S ribosomal RNA". It matches the Rfam family "Bacterial small subunit ribosomal RNA", at positions 524 to 776 of the family's 1533-position model. The record is from RNAcentral.
UACGAAGGGGGCUAGCGUUGCUCGGAAUCACUGGGCGUAAAGCGCACGUAGGCGGCUUGCUAAGUCAGGGGUGAAAUCCUGGAGCUCAACUCCAGAACUGCCUUUGAUACUGGCGAUCUCGAGUCCGGGAGAGGUGAGUGGAACUGCGAGUGUAGAGGUGAAAUUCGUAGAUAUUCGCAAGAACACCAGUGGCGAAGGCGGCUCACUGGCACGGUACUGACGCUGAGGUGCGAAAGCGUGGGGAGCAAACAGG